UGCGGUCACAACCUCUUUUCAGCAUAAGAGGAUCCCUUGGUUUGCUCUUCAAAGAUGGAUUUUUUUGGAGGGGAUCUCCUGGAAGAUUACUCAUAAUUUCUGAGAGGCCAAUUCGGUUGUUGAUUUCCUGGCUAGAGAUGCAGCAAAGUCAAAGAUCUCAGGCGUUAAUAUUAUUUUUCCUAAUCAUGUUAUGGAGCCGAUUAGGAGAGAUGCAAAAGAGAAUCCAAACUAUAGAGUUUGAUGUGCGUUUUCCCCUCCCCUGCUGAUGGUAAUGCCGAAGGUAUAACAGGUAACCGCAUGUGCACUGGCAAGAGAAAAUGCGUUUGCAUUGGCAAACAUCCUUAAGUAGAAGCAUGGAUGGUUGGAUGCUCAUAUGGAUGCUAAUGAAGAUGGCAACUAAGGGUGUCAGUCAGUCGAUUUUGGUGAGUGAAAUCAAUUCAUGAACUAACAAGGAUGCACCAGUUUUGAUUGGGUUUCAGUUUGGUUUCGGAUUUUCAUUUGUUUCUCUUAUUGCUUUACUAUCGGUUUGGUUUCAAUUUAUCAUGUAAUUAUAUUCAAAAGUAAGGUGGAAAUGUGUACUUUGAUGAAUUUUGGGUUGGCAUCGGUUUCUUAUCAGGUUAUAUUAGUUCCGGCCAAGUUUUUUUAAGUUCUAUUAAGUAUCUUAUUGGUUUUAAUGGAGUUUAAUUUGGUUUCAAUAUCACAAAA
This is a long non-coding RNA of Macadamia integrifolia, 705 nucleotides long. RefSeq lists it as uncharacterized. The record is from RefSeq and is a predicted model, not a curated record. The transcript is spliced from 2 exons. NCBI's taxonomy places the organism in Eukaryota, Viridiplantae, Streptophyta, Magnoliopsida, Proteales, Proteaceae.